CGCAAAGAUAAAAACGCAACGUAAGGGCAAAAUCUCUUACAGAGCCGGAAGGUAGCCCGGCCGCACCGUAUGGUGUAAGUAACCCUCCCUCCUUAGGGUCGUCCGUUCUUUGUUCAU
This 117-nucleotide non-coding RNA is filed under the name uncultured Lachnoclostridium sp. RNAcentral's name for it is "yjdF RNA". It matches the Rfam family "azaaromatic riboswitch aptamer (yjdF RNA)", at positions 5 to 92 of the family's 101-position model. The record is from RNAcentral. Lineage: Bacteria; Bacillati; Bacillota; Clostridia; Lachnospirales; Lachnospiraceae.